GCCAUCAGCUCUGCGACUGCCGACUGUCGUUUGUUUCGUCCGUUUUGCAGGCAUUCUGCUUUGCUUUCAACGGCCAGCUGCCGUUUGCUGUCAUAAAAACAAACCAUGUGCUGUUGGUUUGAACUAAAACCGGGCAAUAAAAUGGUUUUUUGCAGUGUAUAAGCGCGGCUAGGCGAUGCUCACGAUGAACGCAGAUACCGCCGACCCCUUAGUGUCCAUCAUCAUUCCCAUUCGCAAUGGAGAAAACUGGAUUGACACCUGCCUUCAAUCUGUUUUAAACCAGACAGCGUUGAGCUUCGUAAAAGUUGAGGUUUCCGUUUGUGACGAUGCCAGCACCGACCGAACCCCGGAAUUACUCUGUACGUGGAAGUUGAGACUGGAAGCACUGUCCAUUCCUGUCAAGAUAUUCAGGAAUCAAAACCAAGAGUCUGGAGGGGUUGGUUAUGCUAAAAACAGAGCGGUUGAAAAUUCUACUGGGGAAUUUCUGUGUUUCCAAGAUGUGGAUGACAUUAUGCUGCCGUGUAGGAUUCAGGCCCAGUACGCUGUUGCAAAAGAGAACGAAAAUGCAAUUGUUGGAGGGCGGUUUAGAAGAAAGCCGGAAAAUGCAACCGCCAGAUUUUCACGAUGGGCGAAUACAAUCGCGAGUGAAAAACUUGAGGAACAAAUCUACACUUCUCACGGACCCACGAUCGUUAUGCCAACGUGGUUUUGCCACAGAUCCGUGUUUCAAAGGGUCGGUGGCUUCUGCGAGGCUGGUCGCGGUUGUCCAGAGGAUUUGAUAUUCUUUUAUUCGCACCUGGACCUCGGUGGCAGAGUUCUGAGGGUAGAUGAUACGGUUUUAAUAUAUGUGUAUCAUCCUCAAGCAGAGACUUUCUCGAUUUGCGAAGAGGUAAUCAGGAUUCUUAUCAACAGGCAAACAAUAUGGGAUCUAAGAGUUGCGCGUUUGGAAAGACUCGUUCUUCCUCUGUGGGAUAAAUUGACGAUAUGGAACGGCGGCAAACAAGGCAGGCGAUUAUUACGCAGCCUGUGUCCUCAGUUUCGGGACAAAGUUGUGGCCUUUUGUGACGUGGACAAGCAUAAGAUCGGACAGAAUUACGUAUCGUAUGAACCAGUCCGAAAGAAAAUAGGACGACCAAUUCCGAUAAUUCACUUUACAAAAGCCAAGCCUCCGUUUAUCAUUUGCGUGAAAAUGGACAUGACGAACGGCGAGUUUGAACGGAAUUUAGAAUCCUUGAACCUGAAGGAAGGAAAAGAUUACGUCCUGUUUAGCUGACACCUCUGCAUUAGGCCCGAUGGCUUCAGAAACGAAAACGAAGAACAAUCAUGCGUCAGAACCCGACGAAUCUCCAAACUGCAAUACUUGGAGUUACCGCGGGAUUCGGGGAAAAAGGGCGCUGCAGACACCAGCAGCCGACAAUCUCCUUACCCUCGACCGGUUUUCCUCCUUUACUGUGGUAAAAAGUUUCACUGCGGUGAUUCUUCUGGUCGGUAAGCUAAGUCGAGGUUGUUGGAUUUCAACCAGCUAGGUUUAUUUUAUCCGGAUCUAAUAACCUGGGUCUGUAUAAUUCUAGGAAUCUCCAACGGUCGGUAUAUUUUCUAUAUAUAUAUAUAUAUAUUUUUUUAUUUACGACUUCUAAGCACUAAACGAAACAUUGAUGUGAAGAACAGGUUUUACCGUCGAAGUGGAAAAGGAAUUUGAAGAUGUAUUUUUCAAUAUUUAUAUGCGCGUUUAUUCAUCCGUCGCUGUCGUGUUAUGAAAACAGUAAAAAACAUAAU
This 1776-nucleotide unclassified non-coding RNA is filed under the name Neodiprion pinetum (white pine sawfly). RNAcentral's name for it is "uDP-GlcNAc:betaGal beta-1,3-N- acetylglucosaminyltransferase-like protein 1, transcript variant X4". The record is from RNAcentral. Lineage: Eukaryota; Metazoa; Arthropoda; Insecta; Hymenoptera; Diprionidae.